GGCGGCAUAGCCAAGUGGUAAGGCAGGGGUCUGCAAAACCCUUACCCCCAGUUCGAAUCUGGGUGCCGCCUCCA
This 74-nucleotide transfer RNA is filed under the name Candidatus Margulisiibacteriota bacterium. Its description in RNAcentral is "tRNA-Cys". It matches the Rfam family "tRNA". Rfam says of the family: Transfer RNA (tRNA) molecules are approximately 80 nucleotides in length. The record is from RNAcentral. Lineage: Bacteria; Bacillati; Candidatus Margulisiibacteriota.